CGGAACGGGUGAGUAAUGCGUGACCAACCUGCCCCAUGCUCCAGAAUAGCUCUUGGAAACGGGUGGUAAUGCUGGAUGCUCCAACUUGACGCAUGUCUUGUUGGGAAAGUGUUUAGUGGCAUGGGAUGGGGUCGCGUCCUAUCAGCUUGUAGGCGGGGUAAUGGCCCACCUAGGCUUCGACGGGUAGCCGGCCUGAGAGGGCGGACGGCCACAUUGGGACUGAGACACGGCCCAAACUCCUACGGGAGGCAGCAGCC
Molecule: ribosomal RNA, 257 nt
Filed under: uncultured Gardnerella sp.
Lineage: Bacteria; Bacillati; Actinomycetota; Actinomycetes; Bifidobacteriales; Bifidobacteriaceae
Description: partial 16S ribosomal RNA
Rfam family: Bacterial small subunit ribosomal RNA
Source: RNAcentral